AUACGUAGGGGGCGAGCGUUGUCCGGAAUGAUUGGGCGUAAAGGGCGCGUAGGCGGCGCGGUAAGUCUGGAGUGAAAGUCCUGCUUUCAAGGUGGGAAUUGCUUUGGAUACUGCCGCGCUUGAGUGCAGGAGAGGUUAUCGGAAUUCCCGGUGUAGCGGUGAAAUGCGUAGAGAUUGGGAGGAACACCAGUGGCGAAGGCGACUUACUGGACUGUAACUGACGCUGAGGCGCGAAAGUGUGGGGAGCAAACAGGAUUAGAUACCCUGGUAGUCCACACUGUAAACGAUGAAUGCUAGGUGUAGGGGGUAUCGACUCCCUCUGUGCCGCAGUUAACACAAUAAGUAUUCCGCCUGGGGAGUACGGCCGCAAGGUUGAAACUCAAAUGAAUUGACGGGG
RNAcentral lists this ribosomal RNA (397 nucleotides) under uncultured bacterium. RNAcentral describes it as "partial 16S ribosomal RNA". It matches the Rfam family "Bacterial small subunit ribosomal RNA", at positions 523 to 918 of the family's 1533-position model. The record is from RNAcentral.